RNAcentral lists this long non-coding RNA (2525 nucleotides) under Equus asinus (donkey). RNAcentral's name for it is "lncRNA (ENSEASG00005031502.1)". The record is from RNAcentral. Lineage: Eukaryota; Metazoa; Chordata; Mammalia; Perissodactyla; Equidae.
GUAAGGUGCCCAUCCUCAGUUUCUCCAUCUGCGGAGUGAAGAUGAUGACUUCUUAGUGUUGUUGUGGACUCCUGUGAGAUAGCGAGUGUAUAAGCAAGGGCUCAGUGGGUGGAGCUUUCGUUAUUUAUGAGAGAAAAGGCGCUUCUUAGGUGUUCUACAGUAAACAUAUAUGACUUUUAUAAUCAGAAGGGAAAAAUUCCCCUAAUUGUCUCACUUUUCCCACUGCUGUUCUUCGGGGAAUUCACUCGAUAGCUGCUUUCUUCAGUCAACUCACGGCCACCUCGGAAUCCUCACCAGGAGCUGCACCCCAAGCAUGCAGGGUUUCAGGGCCUUGCCAGCUGCUCCCUCGGGCCACUCAGGCAGCUCCCGAACCCGCACCCCUCCCAGAAGUCUUUCCUGAGCACCAGGAGGGAAGAAGGCUGGCUCGUCCCCACCCUGCCCGAAUACAAUGCUCCCACUUCUCUCUUUGCGUGACUUCUCCAAGAAAAUCCCCAACCUCUUUGCUGGGGCUUGACCUCAAGAGGCUGCUUCCUGAUACGGCCCAGCAGCUGGCACGGUUGGCCCUGUGUGCCUCUGCACCUGGCCUCUGAGUCGAACCUCUCAGAAGGAAGUUGAAAUGUCGAGGCCACGGGUCUCCCCAUUGUGGGAUGAGGAGGAAGGCGGUGAUAGCUUUUCAAUCUGCAUGUCCUGAUUUGUCAUGGGAAAGACUUCUGUUGGCCAUUUAAAAACCGCUCAAACAGUCUUAAAACAGCUUAAGAAGUGAUGAAAGGUGUUCGCACUUAACCUGGACCAGCAACCUUGUUCGUGGAGUCAGCCCAAUGCUGGGUAACUUUGGUGGAGAGGAAAUGAGUGUGAAACAACGAUGCGGAUGUAGCUGGAAUGCACCUAGGUUUUCCAAGUUGCUUUGUCCAAGUGUACAUCCAGCUUAUUCCUAAACUGGAAUCAAAUUAGAGAAACCUUUGAAGGAAAAAGUAGGUCAGCAAACAUUUGGAUGCUUACCGUGCACCUGACACUUACAACUCAGUGUACUUGUGAAAUGCUGUGGCUUUAUCUAAGCAAUAAACAAAUCUGGAGAGAUUUUUCCCGCAGAACUUCCUGGUCACAUAUUACACCCACAUGAAGCAUAACAAGGAAGGCUCAGAGAAGAAGGGACUGUCUUGUGGUGCUCUCAAGAAAGGCACACAUGUCUUAGCUCCUGUGGCGUUUCGAGCUAAUCACCCCGGCCCAUAUAGGAAAUGCGAUGGAAUUAAGGAUCAAGAUAAAUUGGAUAUCCUGGCAUCAACCUUUGGUGUUUUUGAAGCUGAUAAAAAAAGAUUUGGUGUGGCAGCCUUCCUCAUCAGUUUGGUAUUUCACUUGUCAUCUUAAACAGGGUAAACAAACCACAGACAUAUUUUUCUUCCCUGCAGAACGGCACCCUUUUUCGAGAUUAGGUCUGGGUUCUGUUCGGCAAUUGGAAUUGAGUAGAACGGAGGUGGGGGAAGCAUUUUUUAAUUCCACCCUCUUCUCAAAUAUUUAAAGUGGAAUAACGAGUAGGUGAGUGACUGUCACAUGUCCACUCUUUUCCAUUCCUGCCACCCAAAUGCAGACCUAAGUCACACUUGUCUUAGGCCACCAUAGGUGGCAUUUCUUCCCAAUCCAUCUUGUCAAGGCUAAAGGCACUGAGAUCACCAAAGGAGAUUCUGAGGAAGAGUAGGGAGAUGGUUUUCGUUCUGCCAAGUCCAGGGCUUGGGUUCUUGUUUAAUGGGAUCUACAAGCCGAGGGUGAAAUGGAAAUGGAGGUUUUGAGGGCCACACAGGGGAAGAGAGAGGAGAGAUGAGGGAUGGCAGGUGAGAGGAACCUUCAUGGGGAAUUUUGGGAGUUGUCAUUGGGUUCCAUGUGAACUGACUUCCCCAUCCACCCAGAAGAUCUUCAGUAAAAUAUCCAUUUCUUGGUACAUUAUCAAGUUGAAUCUCUUUGAUGGAAGAAUUCAUUCAUUCAUUCAACAAAUAUUUAUUGAGAGCCUGCAUCUGCCAGGCAGCGUUCUAGGUGUGAGGAUAAAGGAGUGAAUGAAACACACCCAACACAGGACAACUUGGAUGAAAACAACAACAACUUGGGUGAAUCUCCAAGGAAUUCUGCUGUGGGGGGAAAAGCCGUUGCCCAAGGUUGAUCUCGUGUGAUUCCAUUUAUGUAACAUUUGUGAAAUGACAACAUUUUAGAAAUGGUGGUCGCUAGAGGUUAGGGAUGGGGGUCUUGGUGGGAGAGAGCUGUAGUGAUGACAAAGCAUCAGGAGGGAUCCUUGUGUCAAUGUGGGUUCAGUAUCUUGACUGUGCUUUGGAUACAGGAACUUACAAGUGGGAUAAGAUUGUAUAGAACUACACACACACACACACACAUACACACACACACUAGUACAAGUAAAACGGGAAAUCUAAGAUCCGUGGGUUGAAUCAACGUCAACAUUCCAAUUGUGAGGUCGUACUAAAAUCUUACCACUGGGGAAAACUGGAUAAAGUCCAAGUGGGAUCUCUUUUGUAUUGUUUCUU